CUUACGUCAGGCCCGGUUACACAUGAGACUGUGCCCUUAAAAUUGAUUCUGGAAGUGAAUCACCAUGAGUCUAUAUCUUUCCACCUAAUUUCCUCAACACAGUUUCCAGUGAUUUUGGGUAUACCCUGGCUUGCUCUGCAUAACCCACAAAUUGAUUGGAAGACUAGAACCUUGUCCUUUCCUUCAGAACACUGCUUAAUGAAUUGUCAACCCUCUAAGGCGACACCUGUUACCACAACAAUUAAUGAAAUGGUUGCUACAAACUUAACUAAGCUUCCUCUACAAUAUCG
Molecule: non-coding RNA, 290 nt
Organism: Pelobates cultripes (western spadefoot toad)
Lineage: Eukaryota; Metazoa; Chordata; Amphibia; Anura; Pelobatidae
Source: the annotation of a GenBank genome assembly